Molecule: long non-coding RNA, 1782 nt
Filed under: Anneissia japonica
Lineage: Eukaryota; Metazoa; Echinodermata; Crinoidea; Comatulida; Comatulidae
Description: uncharacterized LOC117101905, transcript variant X2
Source: RNAcentral
AGGAGGUCGAGACAUGACGUAAAAUACGUCUUGCCCUCUCAACUUGUUUGUGUUUGAAAAUGUACGUCAGAUGCAGUAUGUUUAUUUACAAGAUUUAGACUUCUUUUGUGUCUUAGGUUCGACUCCUAAUGGGGACAACGCAUAUUUCACCAAAAAAAAAUUGUUUGAAGAGAAAGUGUCCAUCUCUACCAGGGUCUGGCAAGUGAAAAUAGCAGAUAACCAACUGUUGUUUUACUCGUGAAGUUGAACAUGCAUUUGGUAACAAGCCCCUUGUUAGAAAAUGUAACAUUUUCUACAUUGUCAUCAUGAAAAAGAUUUUGUUGGAUUGAAGUUGAAUCCGCGCUGAAUGUCUGCUUGGAUCCUUCAAGGACGUUUCAAACUCUGUGGGGGUGAUGGAACUCUGUGAAGAAUAAAGAGUGACUGUUCUUCCGUAUUGUACCCCCUCUGCCUCGGUUAUGUUUUUUUUAGCUCCUCAAUGCUCAACAUUUCCCGACAUUGCCACCGUCAAUGAUUGGGAGCUCUGUAGCCCCCUGGCCUCUCACUGGCAACUAAAAUCCAAACAUUUUUACCGGCUUACUGGAAACAAAAACAACACACUAGUAGAACAGCGCAACUGAUGCAUAUAGUCUGUAACUCAAAUUGUCUUAGUUCCUACAGAUGUAAUCGAGGAUCUCUGCAUGUUAUUAAGGAAUUCAGUACAGACAAAAAUAAAUCCUAUAAAUUUCUACAGGGUUAUCACAAGAAAUAAAUCAUUCAGGAUUUCUUUUGCCAGAAGCAAUGCCAAUAAUUCUGUUGAAUUGUACAAAGUAUUUCAUGCUGAAUUUCAGUAUUAAAAUGUUUUUCCUACUGAAAUUAAUUAAUGAAUUGCCUACAUAACUUAAGAAAAAUUCCAAAAAUCCUGUAGUAUUUCUAUAUUGUAGUAGGAAUUACGGAGAAAGAACCUAAAGAAUCAGUAGGAUUACUGCUAUUGUUUAAUAAAAAAAAACAUUUAAAAAAAAAGCAGCAAAAAAACAAAAAGAGCAAACCUGAGAAUGACAUCAACCAGCAACAAGGAGUUUUGACUGUACAGGGGAGACUACCAUUCAUGAUGAGGACCAUGAUUAAUAAUAGUUUUCGAACAAUUAGUUUUAACUUUUGGAAUACAAAAUUCACAAACUCUUCUAAGAUUAUAUGGGACAGAAGUAGUUUCCAGUAAUAAGUAAUUACCAGAGUGCCAAUCAAAUUUAACCAGGAAUACACACAUGUCCCACAAACAACUUUAUGCGUGGCAACAGUGUCAAAGGGAUGGGGCUUUAGCAGAACAGUCCACUGUCUCUUUCUACCACGAAAGUGUUAAUAUAUUUUUUACAAAGUGCCUGCCUGUAAUAUGACAUACAGUAAUUAAACACAAAAAUAAAAGCAAAAAAAAAAAACCAAAAAAAACCAAACAGAAACAAAUUUACUCUCCUGUAAAAAUAAUCUGAUAAUUUUAUAGGAUCUUAGAAUUAGUAAUAAAAUAAAUAAAUAAAUAAAUAUAAAAAUAUUUUUGUUUUAUUUUAUUUGAAAAAUAUUUAACAGCGAUAGAGAUCGCCCAUGAUAGGAUAUCUAAAAAUGAUCCCAUGAUCUGCUAAUGCUAAUGCAUGAUUGAUUUCAGCUGGCAAAUCAUUCCACAUUUUGAAGUUUGCUGGUGUUUAAUAUUUUUCUGAAUCUGUUCUAGCCUUCAAAAUGUUUGAAAUAUAGUUUAUCCAUAUGUCUAAAUUAUAUUUCUGCAUUGUCCAAAAUAUAUGAAUCAUUACAAUUCAA